UGGGGAAUAUUGCACAAUGGGCGCAAGCCUGAUGCAGCCAUGCCGCGUGUAUGAAGAAGGCCUUCGGGUUGUAAAGUACUUUCAGUCGGGAGGAAGGUGGUAAGGUUAAUAACCUUAUCAAUUGACGUUACCGACAGAAGAAGCACCGGCUAACUCCGUGCCAGCAGCCGCGGUAAUACGGAGGGUGCAAGCGUUAAUCGGAAUUACUGGGCGUAAAGCGCACGCAGGCGGUUGAUUGAGUCAGAUGUGAAAUCCCCGGGCUUAACCCGGGAAUUGCAUCUGAUACUGGUCAGCUAGAGUCUUGUAGAGGGGGGUAGAAUUCCAUGUGUAGCGGUGAAAUGCGUAGAGAUGUGGAGGAAUACCGGUGGCGAAGGCGGCCCACUGGACAAAGACUGACGCUCAGGUGCGAAAGCGUGGGGAGCAAACAGG
RNAcentral lists this ribosomal RNA (429 nucleotides) under Chloroflexota bacterium. RNAcentral describes it as "Chloroflexi bacterium partial 16S ribosomal RNA". It matches the Rfam family "Bacterial small subunit ribosomal RNA", at positions 355 to 776 of the family's 1533-position model. Lineage: Bacteria; Bacillati; Chloroflexota. The record is from RNAcentral.